This 1587-nucleotide long non-coding RNA is filed under the name Camarhynchus parvulus. RNAcentral's name for it is "lncRNA (ENSCPVG00000017433.1)". The record is from RNAcentral. Lineage: Eukaryota; Metazoa; Chordata; Aves; Passeriformes; Thraupidae.
AUGGGAUCCUCUGGUGGCUUUGUCCUGAACCUGGAGCCAACCUGGAGUUCCCUCAGCCUGGUGGGAUCUCAGCAGGUUCUCCCAGAUCCAACCCUGGAGUUCUCCAGGUCCCUCAGCCUGGUGGGAUCUCAGCAGGUUCUCAAGGUCCCUCAGCCUGGUGGGAUCUCAGGGGCUUCUCCCACACCCAUUCCUGGAGUUCUCCAGCUCCCUCAGCCUGGUGGGAUCUCAGGAGCUUCUGAAGGUCCCUCAGCCUGGUGGGAUCUCAGCAGGUUCUCCCAGAUCCAACCCUGGAGUCCUCCAGGUCCCUCAGCCUGGUGGGAUCUCAAAGGGGUUCUCCCAGAUCCACCCACGAGGUCUGGGAUCCACCAGGAUCCACCAAACCGUGGUGGACACCAUGGGUUCCUCUGGUGGCUUUGUCCUGAGGACCUGGAGCCAACCUGGAGUUCCCUCAGCCUGGUGGGAUCUCAGCAGGUUCUCAAGGUCCCUCAGCCUGGUGGGAUCUCAGGAGGUUCUCAAGGUCCCUCAGCCUGGUGGGAUCUCAAAGGGGUUCUCCCAGAUCCAGCCACGAGGUCUGGGAUCCACCAGGAUCCACCAGAACCAUGGUGGACACCAUGGGAUCCUCCAAGGGCUUUGUCCUGAGGACCUGGAGCCAACCUGGUGGGAUCUCAGGAGCUUCUGAAGGUCCCUCAGCCUGGUGGGAUCUCAGGGGCUUCUCCAGGUCCCUCAGCCUGGUGGGAUCUCAGGGGCUUCUCCAGGUCCCUCAGCCUGGUGGGAUCUCAGGAGCUUUGCCCAGACCCAACCCUGGAGCUCCCCAGCUCCCUCAGCCUGGUUUUUUGCCCCAAAUUUGGGGUUUUUUUCCCCAAAACUUGGGGGGUUUUUCGCCCCAAAUUUGGGGUUUUUUUUACCAAAAAUUAGGAUUUUUUUUCCCCAAAUCUGGGAAUUUUUUUUUUCCCCAAAAACUGGGAAAUUUUUGUCCAAAAUUUGGGCAUUUUUUCUCCAAAAUUUGUUUUUUCCCCCAAAACUUAGGGUUUUUUUUUUUCCCCAAAAUCUGUGGGGUUUUUUUUCCCAAAAAUUUGGAUUCUUUUUGCCCAAAAUUUUGGGGUUUUUACCACAAAAUAAAGUUGGUUUAUUUUUUCCAAAAUUUCGGGGUUUUUUUUCCCCAACAUUUAGUUUUUUUUUUUCCAUAAUUUGAGGUUUUUUCCCCCAGAUCUGGGAAUUUUUUGCCGAAAAUUUGGGAUUUUUUUUUUUUUGCCCAAAAUUUGGUGGUUUUUGCCCAAAAUUCGGCGGUUUUUGCCCAAAAUUUGGGGGUUUUUUACCCGAUUUUUUUUUUUUCCCCCCAAAAUUGGAAUUUUCCUCGUUACCUUUUUGGGGGCCACGGGCGUUUUGGGCUCCGGUUUCUGCCGCUCCUUGUCCGGGGCGGGCGGCGUCGGCUCCGGGGCGGAUCACGGCCCGAGCCCCUCCCCCCUCCAGGGGCUUCAGCUCCGGCCCUGCAACCCCAGAAAUUCGGGAUUUUGGGGGGGAUGGACCCAAAAAUGGGGAUUUUGGGGGUUUGGAACAAAAAAAUUGGGAAUUUUGGGGGUUUAUGGC